UACAAACAGGAAGAUACGUCA
RNAcentral lists this non-coding RNA (21 nucleotides) under Caenorhabditis elegans. The record is from RNAcentral. Lineage: Eukaryota; Metazoa; Nematoda; Chromadorea; Rhabditida; Rhabditidae.